RNAcentral lists this ribosomal RNA (500 nucleotides) under uncultured bacterium. Its description in RNAcentral is "partial 16S ribosomal RNA". It matches the Rfam family "Bacterial small subunit ribosomal RNA", at positions 30 to 523 of the family's 1533-position model. The record is from RNAcentral.
AUUGAACGCUGGCGGCAUGCUUUACACAUGCAAGUCGAACGGUAACAGGGUGCUUGCACCGCUGACGAGUGGCGAACGGGUGAGUAAUGCGUCGGAACGUGCCGAGUAGUGGGGGAUAACGCAGCGAAAGUUGUGCUAAUACCGCAUACGUACUGAGGUAGAAAGUGGGGGACCUUCGGGCCUCACGCUAUUCGAGCGGCCGACGUCUGAUUAGCUAGUAGGUGAGGUAACGGCUCACCUAGGCGACGAUCAGGAGCGGGUCUGAGAGGAUGAUCCGCCACACUGGGACUGAGACACGGCCCAGACUCCUACGGGAGGCAGCAGUGGGGAAUUUUGGACAAUGGGCGAGAGCCUGAUCCAGCCAUGCCGCGUGUCUGAAGAAGGCCUUCGGGUUGUAAAGGACUUUUGUCAGGGAGGAAAUCCCUAGUGCUAAUAACACUGGGGGAUGACAGUACCUGAAGAAUAAGCACCGGCUAACUACGUGCCAGCAGCCGCGGUAA